Phrynosoma platyrhinos (Desert horned lizard) is the source of this 72-nucleotide non-coding RNA. Lineage: Eukaryota; Metazoa; Chordata; Lepidosauria; Squamata; Phrynosomatidae. The record is from the annotation of a GenBank genome assembly.
UGUUGGAAGCAUAGUGGUUUAUGUGUAGGACUACGACUCUGGAGACCAGGGUUCAAAUCCCAGCUCAGUCAU